This is a non-coding RNA of Caenorhabditis elegans, 21 nucleotides long. The record is from Ensembl. Lineage: Eukaryota; Metazoa; Nematoda; Chromadorea; Rhabditida; Rhabditidae.
UGAAUGUUGAUAUUUUGAAUU